GGCAGAUUACCAACUAUUCAGAAGUGGAAUCUUUUUUCCCCUUCUUAAGUCAAAUGGUUGUAAAGCUCAAGCCCAAACCUUUAAAAAAAAUGGUAAAAAAUAAAGAUAAAAUAAGCCUAGCCCAAAACUGAACGAACCGAGCCAGUCAAAUAUACGAGCCGGCUCAAGACAAAGCCGCCCUAGCCCACUCGGUCUGCGAUCUCUCCCUCACUCACGGCUUCGCUGCUGUGAUGGCGACGACGAGACUGACCGUCGGCGCUUAUCUCGCUCGUCUUUGUGCAGCCGAGGGCAUGCCCAGGCAGCUCAGGCUAGGCAAUCCACCCUAGUCUGACCAACAACACCACAGUAUACUCUCAGGCUAGGCAAUCCACCCGAGCUACGACCGUCAGGCACUUUCACAGACCACCAAAUUGGCAGCUACGGAUCGGCCACCUCAUGGCCAGGCAACUUAGAUGCCUUAGGCUUAGCGGUCGUCCACGGUUGGCCCUAGCAUCGCCGACCGAGAAAGCCUCCAGUAGCGGAGGGGACGGCAUGGGCAAGUCGAAUCGACCAAACAGCCAACACUUGGGAGCGCCAACACCACGGGGACACCUCCAUAAGGCGAGGCUGAGCGCAGACGGCUCUACUCCAGCCAAAAAUGAUAGAAUAAAAACAAAUCUCAGUCAAGCAUUUAUGCAAAUAAGUGGAGUGCACUACUGGGACGAGGGGUUACUGACCCAAACCGGGACUCAAAUCUACGCCAGUGGCCUUAACGCACGACGUUCGAGAAUACCAUAACAAAAUGCAAGGGCAACGUGGGCUAGAGCUUGUGCAAGCUGGACGGCCCCGAGCGCCAGUCCGGCGACACCCACAACAAAAUUAAACAGGGGACUCAAGGUAAAGAGACAAAAAGGGGCAUUCACGGCAGUGGCCCUAACUGACUUGGGGGCGCCGAAUGGAGGGCAAGCUCAAUAAAUCGGAUGAUGACAGGUCUCCUCGCACGCCCCAAAAGAAAACAAUUGAAAAAAAAGAAGAAAAGAGUCAAGACCUAUCAUGGCUUUGGCGUAGGAAAAGAAGCACAAUAGCGUGUUGUCGAUCGCGGCUUGGAUGUGACCUUUGCCCUGCUCCCGCCUUUGUUUUGCGUCGUAUUUUAUU
This 1134-nucleotide long non-coding RNA is filed under the name Eucalyptus grandis. Its description in RNAcentral is "long non-coding RNA (EGRA_LNC002084)". The record is from RNAcentral. Lineage: Eukaryota; Viridiplantae; Streptophyta; Magnoliopsida; Myrtales; Myrtaceae.